GUGGGGAAUAUUGCACAAUGGGCGCAAGCCUGAUGCAGCGACGCCGCGUGGGGGAUGAAGGCCUUCGGGUUGUAAACUCCUUUCAACCAUGACGAAGCAUUAUGUGACGGUAGUGGUAGAAGAAGCACCGGCUAACUACGUGCCAGCAGCCGCGGUAAUACGUAGGGUGCGAGCGUUGUCCGGAAUUACUGGGCGUAAAGAGCUCGUAGGUGGUUUGUCGCGUCGUCUGUGAAAUUCCGGGGCUUAACUCCGGGCGUGCAGGCGAUACGGGCAUAACUUGAGUGCUGUAGGGGAGACUGGAAUUCCUGGUGUAGCGGUGAAAUGCGCAGAUAUCAGGAGGAACACCAAUGGCGAAGGCAGGUCUCUGGGCAGUAACUGACGCUGAGGAGCGAAAGCAUGGGUAGCGAACAGGAUUAGAAACCCUAGUAGUCC
RNAcentral lists this ribosomal RNA (432 nucleotides) under uncultured bacterium. RNAcentral describes it as "bacterial SSU rRNA". It matches the Rfam family "Bacterial small subunit ribosomal RNA", at positions 354 to 796 of the family's 1533-position model. The record is from RNAcentral.